RNAcentral lists this unclassified non-coding RNA (1178 nucleotides) under Hevea brasiliensis (rubber tree). Lineage: Eukaryota; Viridiplantae; Streptophyta; Magnoliopsida; Malpighiales; Euphorbiaceae. The record is from RNAcentral.
AAAAACUCCAAAGGCUGAGCACUGCAUAUACUGAAAUUUUACUAAAAUUUCAGCACAUACCGUCGCAAUUGCACAAUGAAAGCAAAUUCCACUGUACACAAUUUGCAAAAUCAGAGGAAGAGAGAAAAUGAAUCAUAAAUGAGCCAUCUAAAGUGAGGCAAAACAAUUACAAGAACAAAUGCUGCAGCAGAAAAGAUGGCAGAAUCAGAAAUAGAAAAUGAACCAUUUUAACGCAUAGCCCACCAACAAUAAUGGAGUGCCACAGGCAGUUUACUGCACUUUUAAAGCCUCAUUUUACAGCUGCUCCAGCAGGACAAUUGAGCUAAAAAUAAAUGGGUUGUAAGGGGAAAAUUUGAAUACUCACAAUUUACAAAUUCUUUUUAUGCUCUGAAUAUUCUAACCUAAAAAGUGGGCAGGGCUCAGACGCAUGGGGUCCUUGCGAUGGAAGAGACUUAACAAGAAUAAAGUGAGCCUUCCUCAGUAUGACCAUAGCAGAAACUUCCAUGCAGAUCAUGGCUAACAUCCAAGCUAACCAAGCAGAAACCUGAACACGUCACUCAAUGAGAUGAUCCCUUCUACUCGCUUGCUACCAGCCUCCACAAUCAAAAGUCUCCUUACGCCAGGGUUUGCCAAUCGCUCCAUCACUUUGUGUAGAGGAUCGGAUCCUAAACACAUCUGACAUCUCUGUCCAUUGUAGAAUCCAUAUGGCGAAUUUGCAUCUUGUCCCAAUUGCAAUGCCUGGUAGUGUAGAAUAGAGGGAGGCAGACCACUAGAGUGAGUUCUCUGCUAUGCACACGUACUAAAAAAGAAAUGCAUUAAUUCCUCAUGUUACUUCCAAUGUUAUGAAUAUUCUCCUGACUUAAUUCUACCUUCAGGCUCUGUGUAGAUUGGUUGGAGCCACUACAAGAAUGUCUACAAUUGCAUGAUAAUAAAGUCGUAAAAAAAAAAAACAAAAUUCAGAAUAUAACCUGAUGAAUACUGAUUUCAUCAAGAUGAAUUUGCGCAUAGGCUUUGUCUUUUGCCAAAGCAGUGAUAUCACUAUCAAGAAAAUAACAUCAAGGUGUCACUAGCUUGUACAUCAAUAAACAUGUAGGAAAAUAAAACAGAAACUUACCUUCGUGAGUAAAUUUCCAGGAGUGAAUCAUUAUCGUCCACAAUUGGUAUUGAACUGACUUCAG